RNAcentral lists this transfer RNA (64 nucleotides) under Allothyrus sp. LamingtonNP-QMS95173. RNAcentral describes it as "tRNA-Met". Lineage: Eukaryota; Metazoa; Arthropoda; Arachnida; Holothyrida; Allothyridae. The record is from RNAcentral.
UUAUAAAGUAAGCUAAAACUAAGCUAAUGGGUUCAUACCCCAAUAAUGAAUUAUUCCUUUAUUA